CGGAUUAACAAGUCCCUUGUGAAAUCGGGCGGCUUAACCGUUCGGCUUGCAAGGGAAACUGUUAAUCUUGGGACUGGCAGGCGUCAGGGGUACUCCGGGGGUAGCGGUGAAAUGCUAUAAUCCCUGGGGGACCGCCAGUGGCGAAAGCGCCUGACGAGGCCAGAUCCGACGGUGAGGGACGAAAGCCAGGGGAGCGAACCGGAUUAGAUACCCGGGUAGUCCUGGCCGCAAAGGAUGUGGGCUAGGUGCUCGUCGUUCCUCGAGAACGUUGGGUGCCGAAGGGAAGCCGUUAAGCUCACCGCCUGGGAA
RNAcentral lists this ribosomal RNA (309 nucleotides) under uncultured archaeon. RNAcentral's name for it is "bacterial SSU rRNA". It matches the Rfam family "Archaeal small subunit ribosomal RNA", at positions 526 to 834 of the family's 1478-position model. The record is from RNAcentral.